RNAcentral lists this ribosomal RNA (429 nucleotides) under bacterium. Its description in RNAcentral is "partial 16S ribosomal RNA". It matches the Rfam family "Bacterial small subunit ribosomal RNA", at positions 355 to 776 of the family's 1533-position model. The record is from RNAcentral.
UAGGGAAUCUUCGGCAAUGGGGGCAACCCUGACCGAGCAACGCCGCGUGAGUGAAGAAGGUUUUCGGAUCGUAAAGCUCUGUUGUAAGAGAAGAACGUGUGUGAGAGUGGAAAGUUCACACAGUGACGGUAACUUACCAGAAAGGGACGGCUAACUACGUGCCAGCAGCCGCGGUAAUACGUAGGUCCCGAGCGUUGUCCGGAUUUAUUGGGCGUAAAGCGAGCGCAGGCGGUUUAAUAAGUCUGAAGUUAAAGGCAGUGGCUUAACCAUUGUUCGCUUUGGAAACUGUUAAACUUGAGUGCAGUAGGGGAGAGUGGAAUUCCAUGUGUAGCGGUGAAAUGCGUAGAUAUAUGGAGGAACACCGGUGGCGAAAGCGGCUCUCUGGUCUGUAACUGACGCUGAGGCUCGAAAGCGUGGGGAGCAAACAGG